Long non-coding RNA from Mercenaria mercenaria, 672 nucleotides. RefSeq lists it as uncharacterized. The transcript is spliced from 8 exons. The record is from RefSeq and is a predicted model, not a curated record. Lineage: Eukaryota; Metazoa; Mollusca; Bivalvia; Venerida; Veneridae.
CAGCUUUACAGCUGUUUGGUUUGAUGUAUCAUCUCCUUAUAAGAAAAAAGUAUGACGUUGCACACUACCGGUGACUGAAAGUUUGUAUGAAAGACAGUCUUUGAGGAGUAAAUGACAGAAUCAAUUUGGACUUAUUUAUGACAGUUUGUACAGAAGGGAGUUAUUGCGGAAGUAUUGUGAGGAUACAAGAGAAGUCACAUGGUCACUUGUUGUUAAGGUGACAUGGAUUAAUUGUUCAGUGGGAUUGACUAGAAUCCAUUAACAUCUUUAAUAAAGAUUAUAGGAUACUUAAAGAAGACCUACUCUAUGUAGCUGACUUAUGAAAGGCAUUGCUGGUGUUUUUUCCUGGGAACACAAUCUAGUGUGAUGAAGUUUCAAAUGUGUCUUGUCUGUGACUGUUUGUUUCCAAGUGGAACUUAAGACUGAUAUUAUUCAACACGAAGACAGUUGGGAAUUUAGCUGCGACAGCCAGACUAACCCAGACUAGCAACUUUUUAUAUGAGUAGAUCAAAUGUGACGGAGUUUCAAAUGUGUUGGAAAUAAACUGGAAUUUUCCCUGAGUGAUUACCAAGUGGAACUUAAAAGCAGCCUUUCGUUAAUCAAUACAAAGUAGGUUUGGGAGUUUAGCUGGAUCUACCUGAAUAACCAAGCUAUGCAGUGUGUGUGCAAGUA